Molecule: ribosomal RNA, 533 nt
Filed under: Vespertilio sinensis (Asian particolored bat)
Lineage: Eukaryota; Metazoa; Chordata; Mammalia; Chiroptera; Vespertilionidae
Description: partial 16S ribosomal RNA
Rfam family: Bacterial large subunit ribosomal RNA
Source: RNAcentral
UUUACCAAAAACAUCACCUCUAGCAUAUACAGUAUUAGAGGCAAUGCCUGCCCAGUGACUCUGGUUUAACGGCCGCGGUAUCCUGACCGUGCAAAGGUAGCAUAAUCACUUGUUCUCUAAAUAAGGACUAGUAUGAAUGGCUUCACGAGGGUUUAACUGUCUCUUACUUCCAAUCAGUGAAAUUGACAUCCCCGUGAAGAGGCGGGGAUAAAAAAAUAAGACGAGAAGACCCUAUGGAGCUUUAAUUAACUAAUUCAUAGACAUAUCAUAUUUUAUCCAAAAGAAAUAAACUAAUAAUUAUUGAAUUAGCAAUUUAGGUUGGGGUGACCUCGGAGUAAAACCUAACCCCCGAGAUAUAAAAUAUUAAGACUCACAAGUCAAAAUUAUAUAAAUAAAUACUGAUCCGCCACUGGCGAUCAACGAAACAAGUUACCCUAGGGAUAACAGCGCAAUCCUAUUUAAGAGUCCCUAUCGACAAUUAGGGUUUACGACCUCGAUGUUGGAUCAGGACAUCCCAAUGGUGCAGCAGCUAU